Molecule: long non-coding RNA, 3112 nt
Organism: Gavialis gangeticus (Gharial)
Lineage: Eukaryota; Metazoa; Chordata; Crocodylia; Gavialidae
Exons: 4
Source: RefSeq, a predicted model, not a curated record
CUAUCUAUUUAGUUCUUCAAUCUGUUUUUCUCUCUUACAUGAUCAAUGUCUUCUAUGAAGCCAGGAAAUGAAUUUGUGGCAACUUCAUUAUUACUCAGGGGGAAAAGACAUUGUUCUGAAAAGCAGAUUUUUUCAGCACACACAUUCACAUUUUGCUCUUAGGGGAGAAACGUGUGUGUAAAAGUUUAGAAACUGUUCCAAAUGAGAGUGAUGCUCACUGCCAAUUAAACGAAUGCACCAUGGAUUACUGGACUACGGAGCUGGAUUCUAAACAGAAAGGUUUCCCAGAACAAUGUAUCCCUCAGACUACAGAGGAAAAGCAAAAUUUGGUGAUUUUUCAAAAUCAUGGAAGCAGAAGUACUGCCCAGCCUUGCCCAAGAUGUAUUGCUGGAGAAUCUGGGCACUUCAGCCAUAUUCUGGACUUCUAGAAGAUAAAAGAUUGCAAAUCAACAAUAGUAACUUUUUUAACUUGUAGGAAAAAGGAAGUGUAAAUGCUGUACAGCUGGAUUUCUGUACACACCCAUUCAAUUAAGAGCAUGGGCUUAGAUUUGUUAUACAGGAAGAUUUUUUUAUAUAUAUUUUUGGUGUACAAUACCUUAUUCCUUGAUUUUUACAUUGGAAAAAUGUUUUUAAUUCGAGAUUGCUUCCAUCUUGAUCUUUUUCCCCGGUGCCUCUCACUCAGUCAAGGUUUUCCUCCUAAUCUUUAUCGUGUUAGUAAUGAGUAAAGAAACAUGUGAAAAUAGGACUGAUUCAGGUUUUUUAAAAAAAAUUACUGCUAGCCAAGCUUUUUGUCCAACCCUGUAAACCCUAACUUCUGUAAAGAGUCUUGCUGGAGCAUUUUCUAUCCUGUUUGGAUAGUUUUAUAGGUACUAGUAGGGAGCAUUUCUUGCACAUAGAUGAGGAAUUUCAUUUGUAGCUCAGCCUCAUGGAAGGGCACCUAAAGGGAGGGCUCUUUGCGCACAGAUUCUGUUCCUGUGCUUGCAUUUGUUUGCAUCCAGGUACUCUGUUUUUAAAACUUUCCAUGUUGAUGGACAAUACAGUUUUACAUACACAGAUGUCCUGGUGAAAAAGAAAUGUUAAAAAAAAAGUUAGCAGUGUUAUUUUCACAAUAUUCCAUAGUUAAAAGUGGAAUGCCAUUACUUGCUCCAGGCAGUGGCCUACUCCGAACUGUCAAGGAUACAACCAGCCUGCCACUCCUUGAACCCAACGUGUGAGGACUGAUUUGCUUUCCUGUUGUUGUAGUCUGGCAUGGGACAGCAUUAGAAUUUGUGUUUUUUACAAUGCCAUAAAGCAUCGUAGCUUGAACAUGUUAGUAAGGUGCACAAUAAAUAUAAUUGUUUAAUAAUAAUUAAUGUUUAAUAAUAAAUUAUUAUUACUGCCACAGAUUGAGAUUUUAAUAAUCUUCUAAAAUGAAUCCAUAACCAAAAUUCAGCUAUCUACUGUUGUGCCAUUAGAGUGUGAGGGCAACAUGCAGCUUCAGUUGAAGGAUGGGGAAUCAAAAGAUAGACCAUUUCUUGGAAGAUCAGGAGCUGGGCUAAUACGUCAGAGGCAGGUAGACAUGACCAUACUCCUUCUAUAAUGCAUGCUCUCGUAGGUACACAGGGAGCACAAACUGUUUUAAUUUGGAGGCUCUGGUUGUGCCCAGAGGCUGCUCAAGGGAGUGCUUCCUUUAAGCAUCCAGGCACAAUUUAGCCCCAAACAAACAACAAAGAUUCUGGAUCAGAGCCUUAGCUACAUUCGCUGAAGGACCCAAAUAGUUCAUAGGACAUUGUGGGCAUUACAGCUUUCCACCUCCCUACUAAUGGGAACAGUCAGGAGCCAGUUCAAUUCCCCGAGCAAUUUAAAACAGCAGCCCUAAAGCCACACUAGGCCGGCAACAGGCCUCUAAGGGCUGAUAUGCAGCCAAGCAUUAUGAGAGCACAGAAUGCUCAGCUGAUGCCCCUCACUGCUGCUCCCUGAAUUGUAGUGGGGAGAGUUGUGGCUGGCAAAGGGUUGGCUGUUUCUAAGAAAAAACAUUUUCUUAAAUAAAUUGAUAGCAUACAAAUAUCAAAAAGAUAGAAGGCAAAUCUAUAAAGCAGAGCUACACUUUAGUGGCAUGAUUGCCUGUCAUUUGGUAGGACAUUUCCUCCACGUCAGUGCAAGUUUUAGUGAUGUUAAAAAAAGAAAUCCUUUCAGUGCGUGGAUUUUUUUUCAAACAUUUUAAAAAGAUCUUCAUUCAUAAAAACAGUACAUCUGUUAAAAGCUGGAAUCUUUCAAAGCCACAGCAACCUCAAAGGGUGUAUGGCUACUGCUAGCAUGAUUUCUCUUGACAUAGCAUUUUUUCCCUGGAAGUGGAUGCAAGCUUUAGACCUAGCUGCAAGGGGGUAUUUUCAUAUUAAAAGGAUAAGAAUGAGUGCACAAGUUAUCAUCUACUGACAUUGAUGCUUUUAAAUACAUUUUUUUUUAAAUGGGGAAAAAAAAGUUGCCCCUAAUUUAUGAAGUAAUUCAUUCUGGUAGUGGUGGUAGUGAUUCAUUCUUAUAAAAUUUCCCAAGUUUUAGUUUUAAAAAUAUAGAUAAUAUUACAAGCAAAAUAAAGCAUGACUGGGCACAAGUUUCUCUGAAGUAAUACUUCAAGUAGAUGGCUAAAAGUACAAAGCCAAUAGUAUCUGAAAAUGUAGUUAUUAUACAGCAACUUGAAUCCUCUUAUGUUUUAUUAAAUAAAAUGCAAGACAAUUAAUAACGAGUCUAACAGUCUAUAACCAAAGAAAAGAUAUGGCAAAAGGCACAUAAAACUAAAACAGAGUAUAGAACAAAAGCAGUCUUGGUUCUGCUACAGGAAAAGAUUGUGAGAAUGUGUUAAAGCAGUUCAGCACCACCUAUUUUUAAAACACUUGGGAACAUGUCUGUCUGUAUUGCUAAAUUAGAAAUGUGUUUAUAUGUUAACGGGAGAAAUCUGAAUUUUUUCAAAAUAGCUUAUUGUCAGUUACCUCUUACACUCUAUUUGGAUACUGUAUGCGAUUUCUUCCUUUGCUUUAAUAUUGUUAUUUAGAAGAAAAUCUCCGUUCAUCUAGCUAAGUGACUGACAGUUACUAACUAAUCUAAUCCACUUCGAGAAUAAACUAUGUUAAGUGGA